GAUGAACGCUGGCGGCGUGCCUAAUACAUGCAAGUCGAGCGAACGGACGAGAAGCUUGCUUCUCUGAUGUUAGCGGCGGACGGGUGAGUAACACGUGGAUAACCUACCUAUAAGACUGGGAUAACUUCGGGAAACCGGAGCUAAUACCGGAUAAUAUUUUGAACCGCAUGGUUCAAAAGUGAAAGACGGUCUUGCUGUCACUUAUAGAUGGAUCCGCGCUGCAUUAGCUAGUUGGUAAGGUAACGGCUUACCAAGGCAACGAUGCAUAGCCGACCUGAGAGGGUGAUCGGCCACACUGGAACUGAGACACGGUCCAGACUCCUACGGGAGGCAGCGGUAGGGAAUCUUCCGCAAUGGGCGAAAGCCUGACGGAGCAACGCCGCGUGAGUGAUGAAGGUCUUCGGAUCGUAAAACUCUGUUAUUAGGGAAGAACAUAUGUGUAAGUAACUGUGCACAUCUUGACGGUACCUAAUCAGAAAGCCACGGCUAACUACGUGCCAGCAGCCGCGGUAAUACGUAGGUGGCAAGCGUUAUCCGGAAUUAUUGGGCGUAAAGCGCGCGUAGGCGGUUUUUUAAGUCUGAUGUGAAAGCCCACGGCUCAACUGUGGAGGGUCAUUGGAAACUGGAAAACUUGAGUGCAGAAGAGGAAAGUGGAAUUCCAUGUGUAGCGGUGAAAUGCGCAGAGAUAUGGAGGAACACCAGUGGCGAAGGCGACUUUCUGGUCUGUAACUGACGCUGAUGUGCGAAAGCGUGGGGAUCAAACAGGAUUAGAUACCCUGGUAGUCCACGCCGUAAACGAUGAGUGCUAAGUGUUAGGGGGUUUCCGCCCCUUAGUGCUGCAGCUAACGCAUUAAGCACUCCGCCUGGGGAGUACGACCGCAAGGUUGAAACUCAAAGGAAUUGACGGGGACCCGCACAAGCGGUGGAGCAUGUGGUUUAAUUCGAAGCAACGCGAAGAACCUUACCAAAUCUUGACAUCCUUUGACAACUCUAGAGACAGAGCCUUCCCCUUCGGGGGACAAAGUGACAGGUGGUGCAUGGUUGUCGUCAGCUCGUGUCGUGAGAUGUUGGGUUAAGUCCCGCAACGAGCGCAACCCUUAAGCUUAGUUGCCAUCAUUAAGUUGGGCACUCUAAGUUGACUGCCGGUGACAAACCGGAGGAAGGUGGGGAUGACGUCAAAUCAUCAUGCCCCUUAUGAUUUGGGCUACACACGUGCUACAAUGGACAAUACAAAGGGCAGCGAAACCGCGAGGUCAAGCAAAUCCCAUAAAGUUGUUCUCAGUUCGGAUUGUAGUCUGCAACUCGACUACCAUGAAGCUGGAAUCGCUAGUAAUCGUAGAUCAGCAUGCUACGGUGAAUACGUUCCCGGGUCU
RNAcentral lists this ribosomal RNA (1373 nucleotides) under uncultured bacterium. RNAcentral's name for it is "bacterial SSU rRNA". It matches the Rfam family "Bacterial small subunit ribosomal RNA", at positions 28 to 1381 of the family's 1533-position model. The record is from RNAcentral.